CAUGUAGGCGGCCUUUUAAGUCGAUUGUGAAAUCCCUCAGCUUAACUGAGGAACUGCGAUCGAAACUGAGAGGCUUGAGGACAGAAGAGGAGAACGGAAUUCCCGGUGUAAGGGUGAAAUCUGUAGAGAUCGGGAGGAACACCAGUGGCGAAGGCGGUUCUCUGGUCUGUUUCUGACGCUGAAAUGCGAAAGCUAGGGGAGCAAACAGAAUUAGAUACCCUGGUAGUCC
This 229-nucleotide ribosomal RNA is filed under the name uncultured bacterium. RNAcentral's name for it is "partial 16S ribosomal RNA". It matches the Rfam family "Bacterial small subunit ribosomal RNA", at positions 568 to 796 of the family's 1533-position model. The record is from RNAcentral.